UCCAAUCAAAGCCUAUGGCAUUUAUUUAGUGGAUUAAAUAAAGCAGUUCUGUUUGUGAUUGUCUUUAGUGUUUCUCUGACAUGUAUCUCGUAAACUUCGUCUUCUUCCCCCAUUCUUACACCUUUUUUCUCUUCAAUGCAAUGAAGUCUUGCUUUGAUAGUUUCAGCGGAGAUACUACUGCAUUCAUCAUUAGUACCAGUUUUGAGACAUCUUUUAACAGUAAUUUCCAUGAGCAAUGUUUGAAUAGCAAAUUCUGUGUUUUAAAGAGGUCUUGGCACACUCAAGAAAAAGCCUAAAUAUUCUUGUGCCUCAUGCUGGGGAUCUGAAAGUUUACUUAUGUACCACCUACUUUUUCUUUGCUGGCAGCUCUUGCAGUGGUAUUUCCAAUUCCACAUGCUUUUAUAUUUUUCUCCGCUCUUGUUCUAUUUGGUAUUUUUAAUAAUAUUUGGUUAAAUUAUGUUUAAUUAUCAAUUGGCAACUUUUAAUCAGGUUUUUAGUUACUAGUUGGAGCGAAGUGUUGACAGCUUAUCAUGAUAAAUUCUACUUUGUAUUCUGUAGGUAUCAGGAUUGCUGUUCAACUUCUGAAGGGGCUGUGGUUAUGUUAAGUAAUAAGCUAUAUGCUCUGUUAAGGGAAAUUCAGUAUAUUUGAUAAAUGUGAUAGAUGUAUAUGACCACUUUUAAAAGUAAAACAAAACAUAAGGAAAUUGACUUAAAGUAUCUCCUCUGCACUGUUACAAUUUAUGUGAAGUCUCUAAGUGAAAAAAUAGGUAGAAAACACAAGAUUCAUAUGUAAACUUAAACAUCUUAGUGUUGAAGUUUUCAAAGUUAUAAAAUUGUAUUGUUGUUCUUGCUGAAGGCUAUUUACACGCACAGUAGGAAAGGUAGGAUUUUGUGAUCUUAUUUGCACAUAUUUGGAAGUCUGACUUUACUAUAUCAGCAGUUUUUGUGUGUGAAGAAAAGUCAUUAUUGGAGGCAUAAAUUGGUAACCAACUGUUACUUUUAAAUGUUCAAAGCCCUCAUUGUACUGUUUGAUUCUGACCUGCUGUAGGAAAUUUUCAAGUUAGGUCUGUGUUCUAUUGCUGAUUUGAAUGUGAAAUUCUCUUGGUUCAUUGGAGGAACAAAACCAAACAAAACACUGCAGGGGAGGCAGCACUGUGUUAGAAAUGCGAACCAAAACCAUGGUAUCAAAGAGUACUGCUGUCAGAUUUUUACAGCUGUUCUGAACUGUGGCUGUGAGCACAAUUUCAUUUGUAUGUCAGAAAUACUAUGCUGCAAAUAAUCAGCGCUUCCCUCCAUAGAGGUUGCCUUAUAUACCAGCGCUAAGAACUGUAUGCCGGACAUUGCUGCCAUUAAGCUAGGUGAUUCAGACUUACGUGUUAACUAUUGUGCUGUGCUAUAGCUAGCUCCUAAAGGUAUGUUUAAAAAGGAUUACUGUGAGCUGUGUCGUAGCUCCUUAACAUUUGGCAGUAGCAACCCCAACUCUUCUGCAUUUUUGCCAAGUAGUUUUAUUGUGAGUGGAAACAUUACUUCAUUCUUUCCCAUUCUUGCUCCUGGUUUCUACAGUCACUUUGAUUCUGUGAUUAUGGGAACAUUGUUUUUAAUGUAAGCACUUGUAAUGCAAAAUCCUACAGCUGUUACAUUAAUGGAAGUUUUAUUUCGUUUCGUUUCUUUUCUUUUCCUUUUUUUUUUCUUUUUU
Long non-coding RNA from Pezoporus flaviventris, 1696 nucleotides. RefSeq lists it as uncharacterized. The transcript is spliced from 2 exons. The record is from RefSeq and is a predicted model, not a curated record. NCBI's taxonomy places the organism in Eukaryota, Metazoa, Chordata, Aves, Psittaciformes, Psittacidae.